This 301-nucleotide ribosomal RNA is filed under the name uncultured bacterium. Its description in RNAcentral is "partial 16S ribosomal RNA". It matches the Rfam family "Bacterial small subunit ribosomal RNA", at positions 509 to 809 of the family's 1533-position model. The record is from RNAcentral.
CAGUAGCCGCGGGAAUACGAAGGGGGCUAGCGUUGUUCGGAAUCACUGGGCGUAAAGCGCACGCAGGCGGUCUGACAAGUCAGAUGUGAAAUCCCCGGGCUUAACCUGGGAACUGCAUUUGAAACUGUCAGGCUGGAGUCUUGUAGAGGGGGGUGGAAUUCCAGGUGUAGCGGUGAAAUGCGUAGAGAUCUGGAGGAAUACCGGUGGCGAAGGCGGCCCCCUGGACAAAGACUGACGCUCAGGUGCGAAAGCGUGGGGAGCAAACAGGAUUAGAUACCCCAGUAGUCCCUGUCUCUUAUAA